GGGUUGUGGCUCAGUGGUAGAGUGCUUGCCUAGCAUGUGUGAGGCACUGGGUUUGAUCCUCAGACCCA
Molecule: transfer RNA, 68 nt
Filed under: Marmota monax (woodchuck)
Lineage: Eukaryota; Metazoa; Chordata; Mammalia; Rodentia; Sciuridae
Description: tRNA.Ala
Source: RNAcentral